RNAcentral lists this ribosomal RNA (465 nucleotides) under Vreelandella stevensii. RNAcentral's name for it is "partial 16S ribosomal RNA". It matches the Rfam family "Bacterial small subunit ribosomal RNA", at positions 338 to 795 of the family's 1533-position model. Lineage: Bacteria; Pseudomonadati; Pseudomonadota; Gammaproteobacteria; Oceanospirillales; Halomonadaceae. The record is from RNAcentral.
CCUACGGGUGGCAGCAGUGGGGAAUAUUGGACAAUGGGCGAAAGCCUGAUCCAGCCAUGCCGCGUGUGUGGAGAAGGCCUUCGGGUUGUAAAGCACUUUCAGUGGGGAAGAAAGCCUUGGGGCUAAUACCCUCGAGGAAGGACAUCACCCACAGAAGAAGCACCGGCUAACUCCGUGCCAGCAGCCGCGGUAAUACGGAGGGUGCGAGCGUUAAUCGGAAUUACUGGGCGUAAAGCGCGCGUAGGCGGUCUGAUAAGCCGGUUGUGAAAGCCCCGGGCUCAACCUGGGAACGGCAUCCGGAACUGUCAGGCUAGAGUGCAGGAGAGGAAGGUAGAAUUCCCGGUGUAGCGGUGAAAUGCGUAGAGAUCGGGAGGAAUACCAGUGGCGAAGGCGGCCUUCUGGACUGACACUGACGCUGAGGUGCGAAAGCGUGGGUAGCAAACAGGAUUAGAUACCCGAGUAGUC